UAUGACUUUCCGGGGUACACGCCACAGGAAAAAGGAAAAAGUCUCAGGUGGGCAUGCGUGUAACUCCCUAAACGCACUGCGCGUGCUCAAUUCCAAAGGCUAAGGAAAGCAUUGCGCAUGCGGGAAACCCACGCUGAGGGAAGAAUCAUGGGAAAGAGUAGAGACGGGGUUCCACCGUGUUAGCCAGGAUGGUCUCGAUUUCCUGACCUCGUCAUCCUCCCGCCUUGGCCUCCCAAAGUGCUGGGAUUACAGGCUUGAGCCACCGCGCCCCGCUCUUUCGUGUUCCAAAGGCUUUUUAAAUAAACUUCCACUCCUGUCCUGGAUUCUGCUUUAUGGCCCUCAGUCGAAUUCUUUCUUCUGAGGAGGCAAGGACUGAAGUUGCUUCUGACCAGUACAGGUACGCCGCAGGAGAAAACGAAUACAGCAGGGAUGACUUCCACCAGCUCCACUUUGCAGCUCUGAGGUGUAUUAAAAAUGUAAGAAAUGCACAGUGUCACCCGUCACUGCUUAUUUCACAUUUAAAAAACAUGAAUAUUCUUAAGAUGACCUGUAGAGGAACUGCUAUAUUUUGUCAUACCCCUAGUCUCUCAAUGAUUCGGAAAGGAAUGAGUGUAUGCUGAAUUUUUUCCAGGUAGGCAAGGAUAUUAGAAUAGGUCUAUCAGAUUCAAUGCAAAUUGAGCCCACAGCCAACACAACCCAUGGGAAGAAAAAAAAAUCAAAUAUCAGGUUUAAUUUAAAGGUAUUUUCAUUUAGAUUGAGUGGCGUGACCAGGUCUUCUGUUCCAAGGAAAGGGACUAUGAAGAAUAAACUUCUGAAGCCUCUAACUCCUAGCAGAAACGCAGGCUUGCAGGAAAAUGCCAACAGUGUAGCAAGACGCCUGGGGAGGGUGCCCAUCCGCUCUUGGCUCCUGGGCUCCUUUGUUUCACAUGCGCUCAUCUUGGCUUUGAAGGCCACGUGAGGAUGAGCAGCUGCCCAGGAACCUGAAUCAGUUUUAUCCUUUACCAACAGCCAGAUUUUUAGUCUCCUCUCAAACACCUCUGAAUCUGCCUGUCAGACUAUAGACUUUAGGUCACCAAAAUUUUUCCAACUGGGGGUGACUGUCUGGGAGCCACAUCCUCUGCCCCACCCCCUGCCACUCUCAGAAGUUACUACUAGUGGGCUGAAUCUAAGACCACAGGUGUGUCUUUGAUCAACCUGUAUUUUGGGCUGAGCGCAGUGGCUCACACUUGUAAUCCCAGCACUUUGGGAGGCUGAGGUGGGUGGAUCACCUGAGAUCAGGAGUUCGAGGCCAGCCUGGGCAACAUGGCAAAACCCCGUCUUUACUAAAAAUACAAAAAUUAUCCAGGCAUGGUGGUGGGUACCUGUAGCCCUGGCUACACAGGAGGCUGAGGCAGGAGAGUCGCUUGAACCCGGGGGGCUGAGGUUGCAGUGAGCCAAGAUCACGCCACUGCACUCCAGCCUGGGUGACAGAGUGAGACUCCAUCUCAAAACACAAAGCAAAACAAAAUCAAAAUAAAACCUGUAUUUUGAAGAGACUGGAUCUUUUCUGGGUUGGCUUGCAUUCUAAAGCUGAUUGUGGCCAGCAAGGCAGAAGAAAAGACAGCAAGGAAAAAAGACGAGAAUUUUGUUUGUCUCUUUUUCAUACGCUUCUAGCUUUCCUUCCCAGGCUCCACCAACACCAACACUUUUUUUUUUUGAGACAAAGUCUCGCUCUUGUUGCCCAGGCUGGAGCGCAGUGGCACAAUCUCGGCUCACUGCAACCUCGCCUCCGAGGUUCAACCCAUUCGCCUGCCUCAGCCUCCCGAGUAGCUGGGAUUACAGGCGCUUGCCACCACACCCAGCUAAUUUUUGUAUAUUUAGUAUAGACAGGGUUUCACCAUGUUGACCAGGCUGGUCUUGAACUUCUGACCUCAAGUGAUCCACCUGCCUUGGCUUCCCAAAGUGCUGGGAUUACAGGCUUGAGCCACUGCACCCGGCCCACCAGUGCUUCUGAGUGCCUUUAAUUGCCCUAUGACUAUGACUGCAUCCGUGGAGUGUAUCAUGGAAUUUAAUCACCUAGUCUGAACUCUCAGCUUCUGGGUGGGUAAAAACAUGGUUAGAAGUGUGCUGUAAAAUACAGGACUAUCACAUUCAAAUGAAAUUACCAAGUUCAAAACCAGAUGGACAUAUUGUCUAUCCACAAAAGAGUAGUGCUUGGAUUUUUUUUUUUAACUUUUCAUUUUGAAAUCAUUUCCAGCUUUAAAAAAUACGAAAACAUUACUGUAUAUCUUUUAUUCAGACUUCCCAAAUUUAAACCUCUUACACAAUCACAAUGAUGUGAGUAAAAUGAGUUCAGAGAUCCACAUUAGGAAAUCAACGUUGAUAUGACGCUAUCAUCUAAUCUUUAGAUAUUCCAAUUUUGUCAGUUGUCCCAUUCAUGUUUUUGUUCUGGUCCGGUCCAGUCAAGGAUCUCACGUUGCAUUUAGUUGUCCUGUUCUCUUCCUUUCCUUUCAUCUGCAGUGGUUCUUUGGUCUUUCUUUGUCUUUCAUGACCAUGACACUGUUGAAGAGUACAGGCCUGCUAUUGUGUAGAAUAUGCCUCACUUUGGAUUUGUCUGAUGGGUCUUCCUGAUUAGAUGUAGGUUGUGCAUUUUUGAUGCAUAUAUCAGGACACUGAUCCAUUCUGGUGAGAUUCACUUUGAUUACUUGAUUACUGUAGUUAUUUUUUCCCCCUCUGCAAAUAGUGCAGUAUCUGAUGAGGAGACACUUUGAAAAUAAAUAUCCUGGUCCUCAUCAGACAUUCACCCAACACUUUUAGCAUCCUUUGAGGAUUCUUACCUGAAACAAUUAUGACUGUGGUGCUUUCUACGUGGUGAUUUUCUAAUUCUCUCACUUCACUGAAAUUGUACAGAAAGGAUGAGUCUCCCUUUCUCCCCUAUUUAUUUACUUUAAAAUUAUUGGCCGGUUGCGGUGGCUCACGCCUGUAAUCCCAGCACUUUGGGAGGCUGAGACUGGUGGAUCACGAGGUCAGGAGAUCAAGACCAUUCUGGCUAACACAGUGAAACCCUGUCUCUACUAAAAAUACAAAAAAAAUAAUUAGCCGGGCGUGGUGACAGGCGCCUGUAUGGGAGGCUGAGGCAGGAGAAUGGUGUGAACCCAGGAGGCGGAGCUUGCAGUGAGCUGAGACUGUGCCACUGCACUUCAGCCUGGGCGACAGAGUGAGACUCUGUCCCCCCCCCCCCCCAAAAAAAGUAUUUAUUUAUGUCAAUAUGGGCUCAUGGAUUCUUAUUUUAUUCUAUGAGAUAUAAUGCAUUGCUGUCAUUAUUUAGUUUCUGGCUCAAAUUAUCCCAGAUUUGGCCAUUGGGAGCCCCUUCAUAGGGGUUUGUGUGUCGUGUGACAUGGCACAUUCCUUGGACACUUUCCUACUUUACAGUAUUAUCAACAUAUUCCAGGCUCGUCUUGUUCUUUCCUUGCUCCAGCUCUUCAUUCAGCCUUUUCUUCAAGGAGCCCUGUGUCUUUUUUUUGGAGAAUGGUCUUUAGAAUCUAAGAUUGGGGGCUGAUUGUUCUCAUCGCUGGUGCAGAGACAUUUCUUCUAGAUCCUCUUAGUGGGCAGAGCGAAGAAAUACAUGUAUAAUACACACACAUUGAGACGGAGCAGGGGCACCCUCUUACAGGCCUGCUGCCCUCCCCAGCCGCAAACAUGGAAACAAAAUCUUGAGUUUUUCAAGGAAAGUAAAUAACAGACACCUAGCUAGCCCUGAGAACCAAAUGAGCAACCUGGUAAGGAGGUAAUUGUAGCUUAAAAAGAAUAGUCAAGGAAGUUAGAGCCACAAGGUGUUUGGUUCCCUGUAGAAACUAAAGAUAACAUCUUAACACGUGUCCUUGAGUUGUUUUUCAGAAACCUAGAGCCCCACCAAAUGAAUCCGCUGGCACGUGGACCUCAGAUGGGGGAAACUGAGGACUGAAUUCUGACCACCCUCCUUUGUUCUAAAUUUCUUCCUGAAGGACCUGGAAGAAGUCAUGCCACGGGCCAGACCUUAACAUUCCUUUCGGCUUACCCCAGGAUUUCAGACAAAGCUUCACUUUCCUAACCAGUCACAAAUCAGAGAAUUUUUGAUUCCACCUAUGACCUGUGAGCUCCUGCUUCAAGAUAUUCCACCUUUUUUAGGCCAAACCAAUGUAUAACCUCCAAGUGUCGAUUUACACUUUCGACUGUAACUUCUGCUUUCCUGAGAUUUACCCCUGCCUUUAAAAACCCUUGCUUGUAAUCCCUCAGGGAGGCCGUGUAUUUAUUAAUCAUGAGCUGCCCAAUUCUCCUUGCUUGGUGCCCUGCAAAUAAACACCCUCUUUUCUCCCACUGCAAAACCUCAGUGUGGAUGUUUGGCUUUACUUCACCCCCAGGAAAGCAGACCCAGGUUUGACUCAGCAACAACAUCUGUUUCUAUUUUUCUCUGUAUAAAUAUUAAAAACCAUAAGUACAUGCUAUCUCCAAUUCCAAUAUAAACCCAUAGGGCUCAUUCUGGCCUUCCCAUUUUCUUAUGUGUAAUUCAUUUCUCUGAAAAUGAGAAUUCGAGUACUCAGAUAUUU
Molecule: long non-coding RNA, 4565 nt
Filed under: Homo sapiens (human)
Lineage: Eukaryota; Metazoa; Chordata; Mammalia; Primates; Hominidae
Description: PREDICTED lncRNA (TCONS_00248708)
Source: RNAcentral